This 76-nucleotide transfer RNA is filed under the name Clostridioides difficile. RNAcentral's name for it is "tRNA-Phe". It matches the Rfam family "tRNA". From Rfam's summary of the family: Transfer RNA (tRNA) molecules are approximately 80 nucleotides in length. Their secondary structure includes four short double-helical elements and three loops (D, anti-codon, and T loops). The record is from RNAcentral. Lineage: Bacteria; Bacillati; Bacillota; Clostridia; Peptostreptococcales; Peptostreptococcaceae.
GCCCAGAUAGCUCAGUCGGUAGAGCAGGGGACUGAAAAUCCCCGUGUCGGUGGUUCGAUUCCACCUCUGGGCACCA